CAGAGACUGCAAGCGUUAUUCGGAUUCACUGGGCGUAAAGGGUGUGCAGGCGGCCAAGUGUGUCAGGUGUGAAAUCCCGAGGCUUAACCUCGGAACUGCGCCUGAAACUACUUGGCUAGAGUACUGGAGAGGGUAACGGAAUUCACGGUGUAGCAGUGAAAUGCGUAGAUAUCGUGAGGAACACCAGAGGCGAAGGCGGUUACCUGGACAGUUACUGACGCUCAGGCACGAAAGCGUGGGGAGACAAAAGGGAUUAGAUACCCCUGUAGUCCACGCCCUAAACGGUGCACACUAGGUCUUGGCGGAUUCGAUCCCACCAGGGCCCAAGCUAACGCGUUAAGUGUGCCGCCUGAGGACUACGGUCGCAAGACUA
Molecule: ribosomal RNA, 373 nt
Filed under: uncultured organism
Description: bacterial SSU rRNA
Rfam family: Bacterial small subunit ribosomal RNA
Source: RNAcentral